AUGAACGCUAGCUACAGGCUUAACACAUGCAAGUCGAGGGGUAUCAGGAAGAAAGCUUGCUUUCUUUGCUGGCGACCGGCGCACGGGUGAGUAACACGUAUCCAACCUGCCCUUUACUCGGGGAUAGCCUUUCGAAAGAAAGAUUAAUACCCGAUAGCAUAAUGAUUCCGCAUGGUUUCAUUAUUAAAGGAUUCCGGUAAAGGAUGGGGAUGCGUUCCAUUAGGUUGUUGGUGAGGUAACGGCCCACCAAGCCUUCGAUGGAUAGGGGUUCUGAGAGGAAGGUCCCCCACAUUGGAACUGAGACACGGUCCAAACUCCUACGGGAGGCAGCAGUGAGGAAUAUUGGUCAAUGGGCGCUAGCCUGAACCAGCCAAGUAGCGUGAAGGAUGAAGGCUCUAUGGGUCGUAAACUUCUUUUAUAUAAGAAUAAAGUGCAGUAUGUAUACUGUUUUGUAUGUAUUAUAUGAAUAAGGAUCGGCUAACUCCGUGCCAGCAGCCGCGGUAAUACGGAGGAUCCGAGCGUUAUCCGGAUUUAUUGGGUUUAAAGGGAGCGUAGGUGGACUGGUAAGUCAGUUGUGAAAGUUUGCGGCUCAACCGUAAAAUUGCAGUUGAUACUGUCAGUCUUGAGUACAGUAGAGGUGGGCGGAAUUCGUGGUGUAGCGGUGAAAUGCUUAGAUAUCACGAAAAACUCCGAUUGCGAAGGCAGCUCACUGGACUGCAACUGACACUGAUGCUCGAAAGUGUGGGUAUCAAACAGGAUUAGAUACCCUGGUAGUCCACACAGUAAACGAUGAAUACUCGCUGUUUGCGAUAUACAGUAAGCGGCCAAGCGAAAGCAUUAAGUAUUCCACCUGGGGAGUACGCCGGCAACGGUGAAACUCAAAGGAAUUGACGGGGGCCCGCACAAGCGGAGGAACAUGUGGUUUAAUUCGAUGAUACGCGAGGAACCUUACCCGGGCUUAAAUUGCAGUGGAAUGAUGUGGAAACAUGUCAGUGAGCAAUCACCGCUGUGAAGGUGCUGCAUGGUUGUCGUCAGCUCGUGCCGUGAGGUGUCGGCUUAAGUGCCAUAACGAGCGCAACCCUUAUCUUUAGUUACUAACAGGUUAUGCUGAGGACUCUAGAGAGACUGCCGUCGUAAGAUGUGAGGAAGGUGGGGAUGACGUCAAAUCAGCACGGCCCUUACGUCCGGGGCUACACACGUGUUACAAUGGGGGGUACAGAAGGCAGCUAGCGGGUGACCGUAUGCUAAUCCCAAAAUCCUCUCUCAGUUCGGAUCGAAGUCUGCAACCCGACUUCGUGAAGCUGGAUUCGCUAGUAAUCGCGCAUCAGCCACGGCGCGGUGAAUACGUUCCCGGGCCUUGUACACACCGCCCGUCAAGCCAUGGGAGCCGGGGGUACCAGAAGUACGUAACCGCAAGGAUCGUCCUAGGGUAAAACUGGUAAAGGGGGCUA
RNAcentral lists this ribosomal RNA (1451 nucleotides) under uncultured organism. RNAcentral describes it as "SSU rRNA". It matches the Rfam family "Bacterial small subunit ribosomal RNA". The record is from RNAcentral.